This 77-nucleotide transfer RNA is filed under the name Idiomarina seosinensis. RNAcentral describes it as "tRNA-Arg". It matches the Rfam family "tRNA". From Rfam's summary of the family: Transfer RNA (tRNA) molecules are approximately 80 nucleotides in length. Their secondary structure includes four short double-helical elements and three loops (D, anti-codon, and T loops). Lineage: Bacteria; Pseudomonadati; Pseudomonadota; Gammaproteobacteria; Alteromonadales; Idiomarinaceae. The record is from RNAcentral. RNAcentral also lists the same sequence under 1 other name.
GUUCCCGUAGCUCAGCAGGAUAGAGCAGCCGCCUCCUAAGCGGCAGGUCGCAGGUUCGACUCCUGCCGGGAACGCCA